UACGGAGGGGGCUAGCGUUGUUCGGAAUUACUGGGCGUAAAGGGCGCGUAGGCGGUUUGUUAAGCCUAUUGUUAAAGACUGGGGCUCAACCCCGGAACUGCCCUUGAUACUGGUAGUCUGGAGUUCUGGAGAGGUGAGUGGAAUUCCGAGUGUAGAGGUGAAAUUCGUAGAUAUUCGGAGGAACACCAGUGGCGAAGGCGGCUCACUGGCCAGAUACUGACGCUGAGGUGCGAAAGUGUGGGGAGCAAACAGG
This 253-nucleotide unclassified non-coding RNA is filed under the name uncultured Paracoccaceae bacterium. RNAcentral's name for it is "uncultured Rhodobacteraceae bacterium contains 16S-23S intergenic spacer region". It matches the Rfam family "Bacterial small subunit ribosomal RNA", at positions 524 to 776 of the family's 1533-position model. The record is from RNAcentral. Lineage: Bacteria; Pseudomonadati; Pseudomonadota; Alphaproteobacteria; Rhodobacterales; Paracoccaceae.